RNAcentral lists this ribosomal RNA (253 nucleotides) under uncultured bacterium. RNAcentral's name for it is "partial 16S ribosomal RNA". It matches the Rfam family "Bacterial small subunit ribosomal RNA", at positions 524 to 776 of the family's 1533-position model. The record is from RNAcentral.
UACGGAGGGUGCAAGCGUUAUCCGGAUUUACUGGGUUUAAAGGGUGCGCAGGCGGAUAUGUAAGUCAGUGGUGAAAUCUUCCCGCUUAACGGGAAAACUGCCAUUGAUACUAUAUAUCUUGAAUGCUGUGGAGGUAAGCAGAAUAUGUCAUGUAGCGGUGAAAUGCUUAGAUAUGACAUAGAACACCAAUUGCGCAGGCAGCUUACUACACAGUAAUUGACACUGAGGCACGAAAGCGUGGGGAUCAAACAGG